RNAcentral lists this transfer RNA (57 nucleotides) under Chelonia mydas (Green sea turtle). It matches the Rfam family "tRNA", at positions 8 to 63 of the family's 71-position model. From Rfam's summary of the family: Transfer RNA (tRNA) molecules are approximately 80 nucleotides in length. Lineage: Eukaryota; Metazoa; Chordata; Testudines; Cheloniidae. The record is from Rfam by way of RNAcentral.
UAGCUCAGUGGUUUGAGCAUUGACCUGCUAAAUCAAGGGUGUGAGUUCAAUCCUCAA